GUUUUAAUAAUUUAUAAAAAAAAUAUUGGUCUUGUAAACCAAAAAAGAAAUCUUCUUAAAACU
Molecule: transfer RNA, 63 nt
Filed under: Coleoptera sp. 22 KM-2017
Lineage: Eukaryota; Metazoa; Arthropoda; Insecta; Coleoptera
Description: tRNA-Thr
Source: RNAcentral